RNAcentral lists this small RNA (699 nucleotides) under uncultured bacterium. RNAcentral's name for it is "bacterial SSU rRNA". The stretch from base 1 to 491 matches the Rfam family "Bacterial small subunit ribosomal RNA", at positions 1046 to 1533 of the family's 1533-position model. The record is from RNAcentral.
UGGCUGUCGUCAGCUCGUGUCGUGAGAUGUUGGGUUAAGUCCCGCAACGAGCGCAACCCCUGUCCUAUGUUGCCAGCGGAUUAUGCCGGGGACUCAUAGGAGACUGCCGGGGACAACUCGGAGGAAGGCGGGGAUGACGUCAAGUCAUCAUGCCCCUUAUGUCCAGGGCUGCACGCAUGCUACAAUGGCGAGUACAACGGGCUGCGAUCCCGCGAGGGUGAGCCAAUCCCUUAAAACUCGUCUCAGUUCGGAUUGGAGUCUGCAACUCGACUCCAUGAAGCCGGAGUCGCUAGUAAUCGCGGAUCAGCUAUGCCGCGGUGAAUACGUUCUCGGGGCUUGUACACACCGCCCGUCACAUCACGAAAGUCGGCAACACCCGAAGUCAGUGGCCCAACCCCUCGGGGAGGGAGCUGCCGAAGGUGGGGCUGGCGAUUGGGAUGAAGUCGUAACAAGGUAGCCGUACGGGAACGUGCGGCUGGAUCACCUCCUUUCUAAGGAGCCAAUGAGGCCUCAGGCCUCUAGCUUCGAGUCAAUCCGACUGGCUACUCGGCUGGCCGCAAGGUGAGCCGGACACACUGUUCAGUCGUGAGGGAGCGGGGAAGCCCGCUUCUCUCCGGCACCUUGAGAACUGCAUAGCGAGCACAAGCGUCUUGGAUUCAACCAUCAAGCUACUAAGGGUUUACGGUGGAUGCCUUGGCA